Molecule: ribosomal RNA, 660 nt
Filed under: Microcella putealis
Lineage: Bacteria; Bacillati; Actinomycetota; Actinomycetes; Micrococcales; Microbacteriaceae
Description: bacterial SSU rRNA
Rfam family: Bacterial small subunit ribosomal RNA
Source: RNAcentral
UUAGUGGCGAACGGGUGAGUAACACGUGAGUAACCUGCCCCAGACUCUGGGAUAAGCGUUGGAAACGACGUCUAAUACCGGAUACGAGCUGCGAUCGCAUGAUCAGUAGCUGGAAAGAACUUCGGUCUGGGAUGGACUCGCGGCCUAUCAGCUAGUUGGUGAGGUAACGGCCCACCAAGGCGACGACGGGUAGCCGGCCUGAGAGGGUGACCGGCCACACUGGGACUGAGACACGGCCCAGACUCCUACGGGAGGCAGCAGUGGGGAAUAUUGCACAAUGGGCGCAAGCCUGAUGCAGCAACGCCGCGUGAGGGACGACGGCCUUCGGGUUGUAAACCUCUUUUAGCAGGGAAGAAGCGAAAGUGACGGUACCUGCAGAAAAAGCACCGGCUAACUACGUGCCAGCAGCCGCGGUAAUACGUAGGGUGCAAGCGUUGUCCGGAAUUAUUGGGCGUAAAGAGCUCGUAGGCGGUUUGUCGCGUCUGCUGUGAAAACGCGAGGCUCAACCUCGCGCCUGCAGUGGGUACGGGCAAGCUAGAGUGCGGUAGGGGAGAUUGGAAUUCCUGGUGUAGCGGUGGAAUGCGCAGAUAUCAGGAGGAACACCAAUGGCGAAGGCAGAUCUCUGGGCCGUAACUGACGCUGAGGAGCGAAAGCAUGGGG